ACCUCUUCCUCAUCCUUCCAGUUUUUAAAUGGUUUAGUCCUAGCCUCAUUUGGACCAUAAAAGAUCCACCUCUUCAUCACACAUGACACAUCACCAGACACCAACUCUUCCACCUCUUCCACCUUUACAAGCUAAUACAUCAAUGAUUAAGUGAUCUUCAAAUUUUUCACGCUACUUCUAGCUUCAUCCUCGAGACCUUCUUGAUCAAUCCCAAGUCUCAUCUAAUCAUUUCUUUCCACCU
RNAcentral lists this long non-coding RNA (241 nucleotides) under Carica papaya (papaya). RNAcentral describes it as "long non-coding RNA (CPAP_LNC014963)". The record is from RNAcentral. Lineage: Eukaryota; Viridiplantae; Streptophyta; Magnoliopsida; Brassicales; Caricaceae.